AGCACUUUCAGUGGGGAAGAAAAGCCUGGGGUUAAUACCCCCGGGUCUUGACGUUACCCACAGAAGAAGCACCGGCUAACUCCGUGCCAGCAGCCGCGGUAAUACGGAGGGUGCAAGCGUUAAUCGGAAUCACUGGGCGUAAAGCGCACGUAGGNGGCCGAAGUCAAGUAAGAAUGUGAAAGCCCCGGGCUUCAACCAUGGAACCGGCAAUUUGAAUACUGCUUGGCUCGAGUCUGUUAGAGGGCGGUGGAAUUCCAAAGGAACCGGUGAAAAUGCGUAGAUAUCGGGAGGAACAUCAGUGGCGAAGGCGCCCCCUUGGACCAGAGACUGACGUUGAGGCGCGAAGACGCGUGGGGCACACACAGGAUGAGAUACCGUGGUAGUACACGCUGUAAACGAUGUAGAAUACCCGGGUGGGGCUCAUAAGAAGAGUAUAGUGGCAGCAGCAAACGCGAUAAGUCGACCGCCUGGGGACUGACGGCCGCAAGGUUAAAACUCAGAAGGAAUUGACGGGGGCCAAGAACAAGCGGUGGAGCAUGUGGAAUAAUUCGAUGCAACGCGAACGAACCUCUACCAGCCAUUGACAUCCUCAGGAACUUGGAAGAGAUGCCUUGCUGCCGUCGGGAGCCGAGAGACAGGUGCAUGCAUGGCUGUCAGUCAGCUCUUGUAGUGAGAUGUUGGGAUUAAGUCCCGGAACGAGAGCAACCCCGUCACUUACUAGCCAGCGGUUCGGGCCGGGAUCUCUAAGGAGCCUGCCGGUGAUAACACGGAGGAAGGUGGGGACGACGUCAAGUCAUCACCGGCCAUUAUGGGCUGGACAACACACGUGCUACAAUGGUCGGUACAGAGGGCUGCAAAGCAGCGAUGUGGAGCCAAUCCCAGAAAACCGAUCGUAGUCCGGAUUGCAGUCUGCAACUCGACUGCAUGAAGUCGGAAUCGC
Molecule: ribosomal RNA, 940 nt
Filed under: uncultured organism
Description: bacterial SSU rRNA
Rfam family: Bacterial small subunit ribosomal RNA
Source: RNAcentral